GUCUUUAGUUGCCAUCAUUAAGUUGGGCACUCUAGAGAGACUGCCAGGGAUAACCUGGAGGAAGGUGGGGAUGACGUCAAUUCAUCAUGCCCCUUAUGCUUAGGGCUACACACGUGCUACAAUGGGUGGUACAGAGGGUUGCCAAGCCGUAAGGUGGAGCUAAUCCCUUAAAGCUACUCUCAGUUCGGAUUGUAGGCUGAAACUCGCCUACAUGAAGCUGGAGUUACUAGUAAUCGCAGAUCAGAAUGCUGCGG
Molecule: ribosomal RNA, 254 nt
Filed under: Clostridioides difficile
Lineage: Bacteria; Bacillati; Bacillota; Clostridia; Peptostreptococcales; Peptostreptococcaceae
Description: partial 16S ribosomal RNA
Rfam family: Bacterial small subunit ribosomal RNA
Source: RNAcentral